AAAAAUUAGUUUAAGUGUAAAACAUAAAAUUGUCAUUUUUAAGACGAGGUAAGUCAUUUUUCGU
Molecule: transfer RNA, 64 nt
Filed under: Pedicinus badii
Lineage: Eukaryota; Metazoa; Arthropoda; Insecta; Psocodea; Pedicinidae
Description: tRNA-Asp
Source: RNAcentral